GUGCAGAACCCCCACUGUCCACUUGUCAGAUUCAUCGGUACUAGGCCCAAGGUGGGUUGCAUUCUCAUAUGGAGAAAUAUAAGGCAACUUUUGCCAAUCGUCAAACCAUUUCUUCAACUGCUUAUCCAUCUCAAAACCCUUCGAAAAAUGCAUAGGGAAAGCAAUAGGCAUCCCCUUUUUGUAAUCCAUUUUCCCUCUUGUUGCCUUCUUUUCUAUGAACGAAAUAGCGAAUUCAUUACUCCAACAAACUAGCUCCAAUUCCAAAUCUGAAUCCAACCCAGAUGACAAAUUCUUAUUACCAAUAACUCGAAAACAGUCAGGGAACUCAGGAACAAUACUCUUGGUAUAAUCUUCAGGUAAACCCAAAUCCCAUUUUAUAUCAUCCAGAAUCUUCAGUGGUAUUUUAUU
RNAcentral lists this unclassified non-coding RNA (408 nucleotides) under Hevea brasiliensis (rubber tree). Lineage: Eukaryota; Viridiplantae; Streptophyta; Magnoliopsida; Malpighiales; Euphorbiaceae. The record is from RNAcentral.